GAUGAACGCUGGCGGCGUGCCUAAUACAUGCAAGUCGAGCGAACGGACGAGAAGCUUGCUUCUCUGAUGUUAGCGGCGGACGGGUGAGUAACACGUGGAUAACCUACCUAUAAGACUGGGAUAACUUCGGGAAACCGGAGCUAAUACCGGAUAAUAUUUUGAACCGCAUGGUUCAAAAGUGAAAGACGGUCUUGCUGUCACUUAUAGAUGGAUCCGCGCUGCAUUAGCUAGUUGGUAAGGUAACGGCUUACCAAGGCAACGAUGCAUAGCCGACCUGAGAGGGUGAUCGGCCACACUGGAACUGAGACACGGUCCAGACUCCUACGGGAGGCAGCAGUAGGGAAUCUUCCGCAAUGGGCGAAAGCCUGACGGAGCAACGCCGCGUGAGUGAUGAAGGUCUUCGGAUCGUAAAACUCUGUUAUUAGGGAAGAACAUAUGUGUAAGUAACUGUGCACAUCUUGACGGUACCUAAUCAGAAAGCCACGGCUAACUACGUGCCAGCAGCCGCGGUAGUACGUAGGUGGCAAGCGUUAUCCGGAAUUAUUGGGCGUAAAGCGCGCGUAGGCGGUUUUUUAAGUCUGAUGUGAAAGCCCACGGCUCAACCGUGGAGGGUCAUUGGAAACUGGAAAACUUGAGUGCAGAAGAGGAAAGUGGAAUUCCAUGUGUAGCGGUGAAAUGCGCAGAGAUAUGGAGGAACACCAGUGGCGAAGGCGACUUUCUGGUCUGUAACUGACGCUGAUGUGCGAAAGCGUGGGGAUCAAACAGGAUUAGAUACCCUGGUAGUCCACGCCGUAAACGAUGAGUGCUAAGUGUUAGGGGGUUUCCGCCCCUUAGUGCUGCAGCUAACGCAUUAAGCACUCCGCCUGGGGAGUACGACCGCAAGGUUGAAACUCAAAGGAAUUGACGGGGACCCGCACAAGCGGUGGAGCAUGUGGUUUAAUUCGAAGCAACGCGAAGAACCUUACCAAAUCUUGACAUCCUUUGACAACUCUAGAGAUAGAGCUUUCCCCUUCGGGGGACAAAGUGACAGGUGGUGCAUGGUUGUCGUCAGCUCGUGUCGUGAGAUGUUGGGUUAAGUCCCGCAACGAGCGCAACCCUUAAGCUUAGUUGCCAUCAUUAAGUUGGGCACUCUAAGUUGACUGCCGGUGACAAACCGGAGGAAGGUGGGGAUGACGUCAAAUCAUCAUGCCCCUUAUGAUUUGGGCUACACACGUGCUACAAUGGACAAUACAAAGGGCAGCGAAACCGUGAGGUCAAGCAAAUCCCAUAAAGUUGUUCUCAGUUCGGAUUGUAGUCUGCAACUCGACUACAUGAAGCUGGAAUCGCUAGUAAUCGUAGAUCAGCAUGCUACGGUGAAUACGUUCCCGGGUCU
Molecule: ribosomal RNA, 1372 nt
Filed under: uncultured bacterium
Lineage: Bacteria
Description: bacterial SSU rRNA
Rfam family: Bacterial small subunit ribosomal RNA
Source: RNAcentral